RNAcentral lists this ribosomal RNA (484 nucleotides) under uncultured bacterium. Its description in RNAcentral is "partial 16S ribosomal RNA". It matches the Rfam family "Bacterial small subunit ribosomal RNA", at positions 30 to 507 of the family's 1533-position model. The record is from RNAcentral.
AUUGAACGCUGGCGGCAGGCCUAACACAUGCAAGUCGAGCGGAUGAAGGGAGCUUGCUCCUGGAUUCAGCGGCGGACGGGUGAGUAAUGCCUAGGAAUCUGCCUGGUAGUGGGGGAUAACGUCCGGAAACGGGCGCUAAUACCGCAUACGUCCUGAGGGAGAAAGUGGGGGAUCUUCGGACCUCACGCUAUCAGAUGAGCCUAGGUCGGAUUAGCUAGUUGGUGGGGUAAAGGCCUACCAAGGCGACGAUCCGUAACUGGUCUGAGAGGAUGAUCAGUCACACUGGAACUGAGACACGGUCCAGACUCCUACGGGAGGCAGCAGUGGGGAAUAUUGGACAAUGGGCGAAAGCCUGAUCCAGCCAUGCCGCGUGUGUGGAGAAGGUCUUCGGAUUGUAAAGCACUUUAAGUUGGGAGGAAGGGCAGUAAGUUAAUACCUUGCUGUUUUGACGUUACCAACAGAAUAAGCACCGGCUAACCUCGUG